RNAcentral lists this ribosomal RNA (446 nucleotides) under uncultured prokaryote. RNAcentral describes it as "bacterial SSU rRNA". It matches the Rfam family "Bacterial small subunit ribosomal RNA", at positions 355 to 796 of the family's 1533-position model. The record is from RNAcentral.
UCGAGAAUCUUCCGCAAUGGGCGAAAGCCUGACGGAGCGACGCCGCGUGCGGGACGAAGGCCUUCGGGUUGUAAACCGCUGUCAGAGAGGCGGAAAUGCACGUGGGCUAUCCCUCGUGUUUGACCUAAUCUCAGAGGAAGCGCAGGCUAAGUUCGUGCCAGCAGCCGCGGUAACACGAACUGCGCGAACGUUAUUCGGAAUCACUGGGCUUAAAGAGUCCGUAGGCGGCCUGGAAGGUGGGGUGUGAAAUCCCACAGCUCAACUGUGGAACUGCGCUCCAAACCGCCAGGCUGGAGGGAGUCAGGGGUGAGCGGAACUGAUGGUGGAGCGGUGAAAUGCGUUGAUAUCAUCAGGAACACCGGUGGCGAAGGCGGCUCACUGGGGCUCUUCUGACGCUGAGGGACGAAAGCUAGGGGAGCGAACGGGAUUAGAUACCCCCGUAGUCC